GCCUAGGAUCAUCUGUCCACAUCGCAGCAUGCAGCCCCAGCCUGUGUCGGACGUAGGCCCUGUCCCUCCUGGAACACAUUGAAACAAUCUGCACCUGAUAGGCUAAUCUUAUUGGCGUAUACAAUCAAAGUGCUAUGGUACUGUAGGCGUAUCAGUAAUGUCCUAGGGUUUAUUCUGUGGCCUGCUACAGUAGGUAUGGUACUGUAGGUGUAUCAGUAAUGUCCUAGGCUUUACUAUGUGGCCUGCUACAGUAGGUAUGGUACUGUAGGUGUAUCAGUAAUGUCCUAGGCUUUACUAUGUGGCCUGCUACAGUAGGUAUGGUACUGUAGGUGUAUCAGUAAUGUCCUAGGGUUUACUCUCCUGGCCUGCUACAGUAGGUAUGGUACUGUAGGUGUAUCAGUAAUGUCCUAGGGUUUACUCUGUGGCCUGCUACAGUAGGUAUGGUACUGUAGGCGUAUCAGUAAUGUCCUAGGGUUUAUUCUGUGGCCUGCUACAGUAGGUUUAGGCUACUCACCAAUCUGCACCUCAUAGUGCUAUGGUACUGUAGGUGUAUCAGUAAUGUCCUAGGGUUUACUAUGUGGCCUGCUACAGUAGGAUUGGGCUACUCACCAAUCUGCACCUCAUAGUGCUAUGGUACUGUAGGUGUAUCAGUAAUGUCCUAGGGUUUAUUCUGUGGCCUGCUACAGUAGGUAUGGUACUGUAGGUGUAUCAGUAAUGUCCUAGGGUUUAUUCUCCUGGCCUGCUACAGUAGGUAUGGUACUGUAGGUGUAUCAGUAAUGUCCUAGGGUUUAUUCUGUGGCCUGCUACAGUAGGUAUGGUACUGUAGGGUUUAUUUUGUGGCCUGCUACAGUAGGAUUGG
Molecule: long non-coding RNA, 859 nt
Organism: Oncorhynchus keta (chum salmon)
Lineage: Eukaryota; Metazoa; Chordata; Actinopteri; Salmoniformes; Salmonidae
Exons: 4
Source: RefSeq, a predicted model, not a curated record